Molecule: ribosomal RNA, 240 nt
Filed under: uncultured Bacillus sp.
Lineage: Bacteria; Bacillati; Bacillota; Bacilli; Caryophanales; Bacillaceae
Description: partial 16S ribosomal RNA
Rfam family: Bacterial small subunit ribosomal RNA
Source: RNAcentral
AGACGAACUGCCGUUGACAAAACGGAGGAAGUGGGGAUGACGUCAAAUCAUCAUGCCCCUUAUGUUCUGGGCUACACACGUGCUACAAUGGCCGGUACAGACGGACGCAAAGCCGCGAGGUGGAGCAAAUCCUAAAAAGCCGGUCUCAGUUCGGAUUGCAGGCUGCAAUUCGCCUGCAUGAAGUCGGAAUCGCUAGUAAUCGCAGGUCAGCAUACUGCGGUGAAUACGUUCCCGGGCCUU